GUAAUGCCGGAUGCUCCAGUUGAUCGCAUGGUCUUCUGGGAAAGCUUUCGCGGUAUGGGAUGGGGUCGCGUCCUAUCAGCUUGACGGCGGGGUAACGGCCCACCGUGGCUUCGACGGGUAGCCGGCCUGAGAGGGCGACCGGCCACAUUGGGACUGAGAUACGGCCCAGACUCCUACGGGAGGCAGCAGUGGGGAAUAUUGCACAAUGGGCGCAAGCCUGAUGCAGCGACGCCGCGUGAGGGAUGGAGGCCUUCGGGUUGUAAACCUCUUUUAUCGGGGAGCAAGCGAGAGUGAGUUUACCCGUUGAAUAAGCACCGGCUAACUACGUGCCAGCAGCCGCGGUAAUACGUAGGGUGCAAGCGUUAUCCGGAAUUAUUGGGCGUAAAGGGCUCGUAGGCGGUUCGUCGCGUCCGGUGUGAAAGUCCAUCGCUUAACGGUGGAUCCGCGCCGGGUACGGGCGGGCUUGAGUGCGGUAGGGGAGACUGGAAUUCCCGGUGUAACGGUGGAAUGUGUAGAUAUCGAAGAGAGAAC
This 531-nucleotide ribosomal RNA is filed under the name Bifidobacterium longum subsp. suillum. RNAcentral's name for it is "bacterial SSU rRNA". It matches the Rfam family "Bacterial small subunit ribosomal RNA", at positions 163 to 707 of the family's 1533-position model. Lineage: Bacteria; Bacillati; Actinomycetota; Actinomycetes; Bifidobacteriales; Bifidobacteriaceae. The record is from RNAcentral.